UGUGCCGCUCCCGCGAGUGCACCCACGUCUCGCUGGUGCCCAAAUCCGCAUUUUUUUUUUUCUUCUUGUCACAGCUGUCCCGGCGCGGGCCGGAGAGGGCGGUACCCGGGGACAGCGGGGAUGACGUGAGCCGCUGCAGAGCGGGGCGGGGGGCUGCGGCCGAGCGCAGGGCGCACCGGCUUCUAAUCCUCUUGUUUUCCCUACAGUCGGCAGAUGCGGCUUUUUUCGAGCUGAAUAAUCCGUUAAAGGAAUAAUAACAACAAAAAAAAAUUUUUAAGACGGAGAGAGAGAGAUCGACCUCAGCCGAAGAGGACAGGGAAUGGAUUAGGGCUGGAUCCUCCGCCUCUCUUGGGCGCGCGCAAACGCUGCGGACUGCGGUGUCUUGAGCCGGAGAACAAAAAAAAAAAAAAAGGAAGGAAGACCCUCCCCACCCAGCCACCCACCCAGGACAAAAGCAUUUUGGGGUGGCAAGAAGGGGGCUGCAGGAAGCGCCUUCUCCGGGACUCGGCGACCUGGGGCCAAGGGGCGCCCGCCCUGUGCGUGGAAUCCGGAUGGAAUUGAUCCAGCCGCAUCCGACAGGAGUGACCUUUGAAAUCCGUGCGCCCCCCUUAUCUUGGUAAAUCCCUUUGACAGCUUGGGGCGGGGUGGGUGCGGAGCGUGGUGCGGGGUGUUCGGAGACGCGCAUAUGCAUAUAUAUUCUCGCUUCCUAGCUCAGCCUGGUUCUGGCUCGCUCUCCCCGCCCUCCUCCGUCCU
This is a long non-coding RNA of Suncus etruscus (white-toothed pygmy shrew), 753 nucleotides long. RefSeq lists it as uncharacterized. Lineage: Eukaryota; Metazoa; Chordata; Mammalia; Eulipotyphla; Soricidae. The record is from RefSeq and is a predicted model, not a curated record. The transcript is spliced from 3 exons.